Molecule: long non-coding RNA, 1590 nt
Filed under: Homo sapiens (human)
Lineage: Eukaryota; Metazoa; Chordata; Mammalia; Primates; Hominidae
Description: HSALNT0078161
Source: RNAcentral
CCUGGCUCAUAUCCAUGGCAGGUGGGGUUCCCGCUCUGUGCUUUGGAGACCCCCUGCCUCUGUCUCUGUACAGGGGAGCUUCUUCCUUUGUUCUUCCCACUUCUAUCUUGCCUACUAAACUCUGGGCUCCUUAAAACCGCUCCACGUAUGUCCGUGUCGUUUUGUCUAAGCUGGCAUGAGGACCAAGAACCUUGGUGUUCCUCCACUCAUCGGAGCCGUAUCAGUAAGUUUUUGUUGAAAGCCAGAUGCCAGGUAAAAGGAACUCAGUGCAUUCGAAGCAGUGCAGUGGGAAGGGAAGGUAGAGAGAAGAAUCUCCAACAGUUUGUUGAAUAAGAGUGGCAACUGUGGAUACCUUAAUUUUACUUCUGAUGGAGAAAAGCAACUAGUUUUUCACCAUUAAGUAUAACUUAGCUGUAGUAAGUAAAUGUUCUUUAUAAGAUUGAGAAAGUUUCCGUCUAUAUCCAGUUUGUUAAAUGCUUUCACCAUGCAAAGAUAUUGGAUUUUGUCAAAUACUUUUCCUGCAUCUGUUGAAAUUAUCAUCUGAUUGAUUUUCUAUCUGUGGAUAGAGUAUAUUUAAUUAACUAAUUUUCAGAUAUUGCGGUAACUUUGCAUCUGUUGGAUAAAUCCCAAAUGAUUAUGGUGUAUAAUUAUUUUAAUAUAUUGAUGGAUUCUAUUUGCUAGCAUUUUCUUGAGGACUUUUGUGCCCGUAUUCAUAAGAGAUAGUUGUUUUGAAGUUAUCUUUUGUUAUACUGUAUUUUUUGUUUCAAAAUAAUAUUAGCCUCAUAGAAAGAGUUGAGGAAUCUUUCUUCUCUUUUAUUUCUGGAAGAGUUUACAAAUGAUUAUUAUUAAUUAUUUAAAUGUUUGUUAGAAUUUAGAAGUUAAGCCAUCUUGGUUUGGUCUUCUCUUUGUGAAUAGUUUUUAAAUUACCAAUUUAGUCUUUUUACUUGUCUAUUCAAAUAAUGUAAUUCUUCUUAAAUCAGUUUCAAUUUUUUCUUUUCUAAAAAUUUUUCCAUUGUGUCUAUGUUAUCUAGCUUGUUGGCAUUCUAUUUUUCAUAGUAUUCUUUUAUAAUCCAUUUUGUUUUUGAAACAGCAACAGUAAUGUACCCUCUUUCAUUUUUGAUACUAGUGAUAUGGAAGGGGGGCAGGGAAGUGCUGGGUAGAGAAGGGCAAGUCACUGGCAAGGGCUCCACUCUAGGGCCUGUGACCACGGACCUAGGUGAGGACAGGCAUUUCUGUUUUCAUGCUUAAACGUUGCAUUCUCCAAGAUCACCCUGGCCCACCACUGCCCUAUCCUAUGCUUAUGAAAACCCCAAGACCGUAGUGGGUAGAGACACAAGCAGCUGGACAUCCAGAGGAACACAUCAGUGGAAGAAGACACAAGUGGCAAGAUGUUGUAAGAGCACACCGACAGAUGCCAGCAAGCUGUAAGGCCAUCCACUGAAGGAACAAAGUGGAGUAUGUCUGGGGCAGUUGGAGGGGGAUCCCAGGCUGAGAGGCCUGACUCCAGUGGAAAGCCAACUUCUCACUGUCUCACUUCUGGUUCCCCCGUCUGUUGAGAGCUACUUCCAUUUAAUAAAACCUUGCACUCAU